AACGUAGGUUCCGAGCGUUAUCCGGAUUUACUGGGCGUAAAGCGCACGUAGGCGGCUUUGUAAGUUAGAGGUGAAAGCCCGGAGCUCAACUCCGGAACUGCCUUUAAGACUGCAUCGCUUGAAUCCAGGAGAGGUGAGUGGAAUUCCGAGUGUAGAGGUGAAAUCCGUAGAUAUUCGGAAGAACACCAGUGGCGAAGGCGGCUCACUGGACUGGUAUUGACGCUGAGGUGCGAAAGCGUGGGGAGCAAACAGG
This 253-nucleotide ribosomal RNA is filed under the name uncultured bacterium. Its description in RNAcentral is "partial 16S ribosomal RNA". It matches the Rfam family "Bacterial small subunit ribosomal RNA", at positions 524 to 776 of the family's 1533-position model. The record is from RNAcentral.